This 800-nucleotide ribosomal RNA is filed under the name uncultured ciliate. RNAcentral describes it as "bacterial SSU rRNA". It matches the Rfam family "Eukaryotic small subunit ribosomal RNA", at positions 49 to 881 of the family's 1831-position model. Lineage: Eukaryota; Ciliophora. The record is from RNAcentral.
CCAUGCAUGUCUAAGUAUAAAUAGUAUACAGUGAAACUGCGAAUGGCUCAUUAAAACAGUUAUAGUUUAUUUGAUGAUUUUUUACAUGGAUAACCGUGGUAAUUCUAGAGCUAAUACAUGCGGAUAGCCGAACUUCUGGGGAGGCUGUAUUUAUUAGAUACUAAACCAAUGUCGCAAGACAUUGUGGUGAAUCACAGUAACUGAUCGAAUCGGCGCGCAAGCGGCGAUAAAUCAUUCAAGUUUCUGCCCUAUCAGCUUUCGAUGGUAGUGUAUUGGACUACCAUGGCAGUCACGGGUAACGGAGAAUUAGGGUUCGGUUCCGGAGAGGGAGCCUGAGAAACGGCUACCACAUCUAAGGAAGGCAGCAGGCGCGUAAAUUACCCAAUCCUGACUCAGGGAGGUAGUGACAAGAAAUAACAACUCGGGGGCCUUCGGCUCAUCGGGAUUGCAAUGAGAACAAUACAGAUCACUUAGCGAGAAACAAUUGGAGGGCAAGUCUGGUGCCAGCAGCCGCGGUAAUUCCAGCUCCAAUAGCGUAUAUUAAAGUUGUUGCAGUUAAAAAGCUCGUAGUUGAAUGUCUGAUCAUCGUGCAUUUCGGCACUCGUCGUGUGCACGGUGGUCAUCCGCAUACAAACCUAGCUCGGCAUUUAGUUGUUGACUGGGGGAGUCUGCAAUUUACUUUGAAAAAAUUAGAGUGUUUCAGGCAGGCAAUGGCUUGAAUACAUUAGCAUGGAAUAAUGGAAUAGGACUGGAGUCAAUUUUAUUGGUUAUUUGACUUUAGUAAUGAUUAAUAGGGACAG